UGGUGGGACAGCACCGUGUAAGGCAGACAUGUCGGGGGUCCGGGUGGUGUCGCGGCUCCUGGGCGCCCGGCGCCUGGCACUGACUAGGGCGGUGAGUCGGCGCCGUGGGGCGGGCAGGGCGCGGGGAGCCGAGGAGGGGCAGGACUUCCCACGGGGCGGAGCGGACGCCGAGUCCCCCCGGCGCCGGACCGGGACGGGGUCGCGAGGGUCUGGGGGAGGAUGCGGUGAGGAGGCCGCCCGAAGGGGUGGGGCCGACCCGGAGGGCCGCGGGACUCCUUCUGAAGCCAGCGAGUCGCGUCCCGGUGAAGGUCAUGACCCCGCUUGCCGUCCCCGGGGACCCUUCCCCAGAGUACUAAGGUCGCCCCCGCCCCAGCCUUCGGCGCGUGGGGAGGCGUGUUUGCCCGAGGUCACCCUGACAGGUGGCGGCCCGUGGGUGCCCCGGGCCUCUGAAUCCAAAAGCGCCCUUAGAUCUCCGGCGGAGGCGGGCCGGCAACCGCAGGCGCGCGCCGGCCGGGCGCUGUGCCGAUCGCCCUGGGGACGGUCCGUCGGGUGCCAGCAGCCCCGAGGACCCGGCCGGGCUCGGCCCUCCCGCCCCAGGCAGGGUAGGUGGGAGGCACGUCUGACACCGGCGCUGGCGCUUGCCUGGCAACUGUUUGCAAAACCGCGCUUCUUCGGGGAAAGCGAAGACCCGUGUUUCACACCGGGAUCUGGCAACUUUUGGACCUUCAUUUUGGGUUUUGUAUGGUGGCCUUUUGCGCACAUUAGAAAACCAGGCGAAGAACGUCAGCGCUCUGACCGCAGACCACGUUCGGGCGACGGCGCCGGGAAGUCUGAUUUCCCGUGCGUUGUCUGCCCGGACUCCGGUCAGUCGUGGAUGACCGUCAGGGUUGUGCCUUCUGGAGCCCUUGCUUACCGGAUUGUGUCAGAUGUACUCCUUACAGUUACGUCUUCAGGAUCUACCUUUUCAGGUUUUAUUUCAGCACACUAAACUUGGAGGGGUUGUUGUUUGGGUUCUUUUAUAUGAUCCGCCUGCCCACCUACUUAGUAAUGUAAUUACAGAGUGAAAAUCCCAGUGGGAACCGAGGCAUUCAACAGUAUUGACAGGAGUUAUGCCUGUAGUUAUACCUGCAAUUUUCUCCAUUUUGAAAUACAGAUACUAAAAAUUAAGUUAAAUGUGAGAAGGUUAACUCCGCCAUCCUGCCAAUGCCAGAGAACGUUUUCAAUGCUUUCUCGUGCUGCUGUGGUUGAUGCUUCCUGAGCAGAGGUCCCCACUCUCCACACCCCACCCAUCUUGGGCUCUAAGUCCACAAGCUGGAUGGGCAGUGGGAUAUUCUUCGGCAAACGUGAGCAGACUUCUUAGUGCCUCCUGCUUGUUAAGUGCAGUGACCAGUAACUGGUGGUGCUGGGAGAAGAGCUAAACAUGUGUGUCCUCGGUCACCCCAGCGUUCUUGUGCAGACUAAGACCCCUCCAGUCUGUGGAACUCCCUUGACCACCUGCCUGCCCUUUGUUUAUGACCUUGUUGUCCUUUAUGUAAACUGGACUAGAAUUCUAGCUCUGAGCUCUGAGCUGCAAGUGAGAAUAAGAUUCUGAGCACCACUGGUCAGAGUGUGUAAACCUGUACUUUUGUAUUGGCUUGAUUGGAAGUUAUCUUGGUUGAAUCAACUAUUAGCUGCCAGCAUUUACCCUUCUUUUUACCUUGAUGAAGAUAGCUUUUCCUGUGGAAAUUAAUUCUGCCCCCAAGCAGUAUAUGUAGUGGAAUUUAAGAUUGGCAAAAACAAAAGCAUCAACUUAGAACAACAACAACGAAAUGUAUGAUCACCAACUGAGAAAUGUGCACGGAGAGUAGAUGAUGAGGGUAGUUUGAAUAAAAUCCACAGAGAAUUUUUCUUGAUUUCAUUUUGUUCAAUUCUCUGGUGUUUCCAAGGCAGUUUAUAUUUACAGCUGCUUUCAAGUUGCAAAAUCAUCAAACCUAUUUUGCGUUGGUUUCAUUUUUAGUUAUCUUAAUGCACUGACAUAAUUUGCAGACUGUUCUGGUGUAUUGAAAGGAAAAGUAAAAGCAAGGUCCUUAAAUAGUUGCUGGUUAAUUGCUUCAGAUGAGAUUUUUCAAAUUCUUUAACAUGGAUAUCCAAAGUACUGUUCUAGAGUAAGUCAGUUUUUCUUUGAAUGUAUUGUUUUGAAUUUGGCUUAAUGAUGUAUCUAGAAUUACAUUAUUUAGGCCAUUGUGGUAACCUUUUUUGUUUUCCUUUUUGGGGUAAUUGUACCGCUGUGGCAUUCAUUUCUGCAUUCUGUGGGAUGUUUUUCCUGGUUCACUGGAAAAAUUGUGGCUUGGUUUUGAUACGUAAUCUGGAUAUGCAUCUUAUUUUGGAGUCCCAGAGAUUUUUCCUAAGGCUCCUUACCUAGGGGGGAUGUACUGAAUCUGGUACCAGCCAGGCAGACCAGAGUUCAGACCCUGGAUAGACUCCAUUUCUCUUUCAUGAGGGUUCUGGGAGGUAGCCUGUGACGCCCUGGUGUGGUGAUCAUUCUAGCCAGGACCUACACCUACAGCCUGUGCUCGAUAAUCUUGUGAAUUGUAUUCUAAGCAUCCCUGUUUUAAAAACCUUUAAACUUCUAAUGAAAAUAAUUACACAUAGUUAUAAAAAAAAAAGUCAAGGAAUACAGAGGCUUUAUAAAUGAAAAGGAUUGAGACCCUCUCCUAACCUCAGACCUGUUCCCCAGUGAAAUCACUUCUGAAUUGUUUCUGUUAUUGGCCGCUGGUGUUUACCUCCAUGUCUCUAGCUAAUGUGCAGGCUUACGUUCAUCCAUUUUGGACUUUGACUUGUGGCUCUGAAUGAGGACUCAGUUCGCUUAAACCAUCUUCCCCCAUCCUCAGUUCUUCCCAUGGCCUUCCAAGGCACUUUCAGAGCCUUUAUGGGCUGCUUUUCUUAUUAUACAGAUUGUACUUACAAAUAGUUUCUUGUCUGCAAUUCAUAGGUGAACGCUAUCAGAUGGGGACCUGUACUUCGCUAGAUUAAGGGUUUCAAUAUCUCUGCCCUUCUCUUCAGUUUUCUCCCUUUUACCAUUUAAGUCAUUCACUUGUGCUUUCAUGUCAUUAAAAGCUCUGUUUCUUUUAAUUCUGCCUCCAAGGCAGAUUUCCUCACGCUUCUUUACGUUUCCCUGUUGGAAAAUGUUUGAUAGUUUUACUUCAAAAAAUGUUAAAUAGUUUUAUUUAUAGACAAAUUGGGUUAAUUUUGGGCUCUCCAGAUUCUAAAAUUGCUCCUCAAAUCCGAUUUGGAUAAAAAGCUAGUAUUCUAUUUUCCACAGGGAGAUAGUAUGAUAAUUUGUUAGAGAUUUCAUUUUAACAGCUGCCAGUGUUUGAGAUGGCCGUGUGUGUCUAUCUUUAUUUAACGUGAACAUCCUAGAAAGAAGAAAUAAAUACUUAGGGAAUCUCACUGUUACUAUUUUACUUUUUUACAGUUCAACUUAAGCAGGUAAGUUUAAUGAUCAGAACAAAAAUGGGAUCGCUUAGGAAAAACUAUAUAAAAGACGCUUUACAGUAUAAUAUGUCCUUUUCAUGUUGAUUAUUUUUAUAGGAUUUAAUAUGUGAUUAUUCUUCAGUUUUCUGAAUUAAAAUUGUUCAGGUGGCCAUAAAAUCUGGAAACAUAGACAAAUAUACAUAAUAAAUAGUUUACUCAUAUUCCAACAAAUGUUCAAUGAAUGUGCUGUUCCUCAUUAGCAUUUCAUACUUUAACAAGUUAUGCAAAACUGCAUGUGCACCAAAGCACUAUUUCCAUCAAUCCUCGUACAUCCACCUACAACGAAUCGCUUGUGGGGAUUUGUGUGUCUCACUUUCCCUGAAUAAACGUGUGCCUUUAGCACACCCAAGGUGUAAUUAAGGAAGAAGUGUCUGUCAUCUGUGUUUCUGGAUUGUGUGGUCCUGUUUUUGGUUUUGUUUUUUUUUUUAAGUUUCACCUACUAUAAGUCUUAAAAACAUUUUUGACCAUUCGUAUUAUACCAAGAAAAAAGAUGAAUACUAAAUACAAGCUAAUGGAAAAACAAAAAUUCAUUUGUUUUACCUUUCUAUUCCACAUCACAACAUUUUACUGAAAAUGAAGGGAUUUUUCAUCUAUAGAUAAAAGACUCUAAAUGGUACUUAGGUUGUUUUACAAGUUUGAUUUUAAAAUCGUUUAGAAUUCACAAUGGGUCUUACACACAAUGAUUUCAAUAAAUCAGGCACUCCAGAGCACAAUUGGAGGUGUAACAAUUAUGUGAUGACUUCUUAACAGUCCAAGGAGAUAAAGACCUUUUUUUCAAAUAUGGAAAGAAAUUAAUCUUUCUGCAGUAUUAACCCCUAAAAGCUAUCUUCCUUUAUAGACUACAAUAUUAUUGUCAAUUUAAUAUACUUUUAUUUUUUUUAAUCUUAUUUUUAAUGUUUGUUUUACUUUUGAGAGACACAUCCAGUGCGAACGGGGGAGGGACAGAGAGAGAGGGAGGCGCAGAAUCCUAAGCAGGCUCCAGGCUCUGAGCUGUCAGCACAGAGCCUGAUGCAGGGCUUGAACCCAUGAACCGUGAUAUCAUGACCUGAGCCGAAGUCAGAUGCUUAUCUGACUGAGCCACCCAGGCACCCCCAUAUACUUUUAAAAAGAACUCCCAGAGGAAGAAAUUUCUGGAGGUUUUCCCAAAUAUAUACAGCUACUUUUUCUGUCAUGCUUACAACAUCUGCAAAGUACGGAAUGUUCAAAUGCAGAUUCUUAUGAUCAAGGGGCUCCAUAAUUGCCUCCUCCAUAUACUCUUUGAGGUCAGUCACUUUCAUAACUAUUCCUGUAAUAGGAUCAAUCUCUCCAUGUACUGUCACCACAACUUUAUAAUUGUGCACGUGGCCAUUUGGAUUGUUGGCAUUCCCAAACAAUUUCAAGUUUUCUUCAUUACUCAGAGAUGUGCUGUGGAGCCAGUAGGUCGCUCUGAGGGAGAUGAGGUGGGACAGUUGCGUGGUGUUCUUGGCUUGCCUUCCCACUUGGUUGGUGGUGGGGCUGGGACAGGCUCUCUGUUUCUAUUUUGAUUUCAAUUUGGUAUUGUAAAAUGUAUUGUUCUUUUUUGGAACUAUUACCUUUAUCUUGUACUUCAUUAAAAUUUCAUGAACAUUUGUAUUUUGCUGACUUGGUUAUUUGUUAAGAUGUGAUUUUUACCAUUUAAAAAUUAUACUAAAGCAGAAGAAUAUUCUUUUUAAGUUUUUUAAUUCGUUUACUGGACAAAAAGUUGACUUAUGUCAAUAAAAACAAAAGUACUUAUGGGCGCUUGGGUGGCUUAGUCGCUUAAGCAUCUGACUUUAGCCCACAUCAUGGUCUUGUGGUCCAUGAGUUCGAGCCCUGUGUUGGGUUCUGUGCUGACAGCUAAGAGCCUGGAGUCUGCUUCAGAUUCUGUGUCUCCCUCUCUCUCUGCCCCUCCCUGGCUUGUGCUCUCUCUUUCUCAAAAAUAAAUAAACAUUAAAAAAUACAUAUAUACUUAAAGUUGAAAUUGGAGAAUUCAAGAAUAUUGCAUUUAUCAGUUCAGGUCUACUUAGAAAUUCAAGAAACUUCUUUGUAAUUGGAACUGUUAGCAUAAAGUCAACUAUUUGUGGCAGGCAUCAUUUGGUCUCAGUGCUUAAGAAAGUCUAAAAAAAUAUUUUUAAGUUAUUCUUGAGAGAGAGAGCGAGAGGUGGGGAGGGGCAGAGAGAGAGAGAGGGAGAGAGUGAGCAUCCCAAGCAGGCUCUGCACUGUCAGCACAGAGCCCAGAUGCAGGCCUAGAACUCAUGAACUGUGAGAUCGUGACCUGAGCCAAAACCAAGAGUCAGUUGCUUAACUGACUGAGCCACUCAGGUGCCCCUAAAUGCUAAAGAAAGUCUAGAGGUUGGAGCCACCUGCUCCAUUUGCAAGCGGCCAAGCCCUCCAGCCUGGCCUGAGGCCAUUAAUCUUCAAAGAAAGUCCUUCUGUUCAAAACCACUCAGAGUUCAUUUUGUAUUUUGCCAAAUUCUCCUCCCUGAAUUCUCCACUUGUUUGUCCUACAGAAUAAUUUUUUUACCCCACAGAAUAAAUAGCAUCUCUUCCAAACUGCAGAAUACUCGAAGACAUCUCUCAUAUCCCCUUUGUCAUUGUUAAACAUACUUAAUUCCUAAAACUGUUCAUGAAAUUGCUAAGACUUCAUUUUAUCAGUAGCCGUCUAAAAUGCAGUCAUAGAACAGAAAGACAUGCCUUAUAAGUUGGUUUUCAUAUAAAGAAGAUGGCCCCUCAGGCUGGGCUGUGAUUUCAUUAAUACCAAUUUUCUUGAGUAAAUGUGUUCAUAGGGUGGAACAUUUAAGCCAAAACUUGGAGAGUUGGAGAGAUUAGCCAGGGAAUGGCCAGGGACAAGUGUUCAGACAGGGAACAGCACCCUGGAGUAUGACAGAGGAGAGGGGAUGUGGCUACAGCCCAGCGCAGGUGUGGAGAGUGGUGAAGCAGGAGCAUCUCUAGGCCUGGAGUCUUCACAUUCACAGUGAAGGGUUGGUCCCGCUGGUACCCAGUGUCAGGGUGAGCAGUAGAGCCUCUUGUAGAAGAUGGAUCUCCCAAUACACUGUCCCAGGCCUUUUCCAGUGAACCACAAAACCUUGCAGACGUGUGGUGCUAUAGUGUGAAGAGGGUCAUGAUGGAUCCAGUAAAAGUGCUUCAUUGUAAACUACCACUUUCACAAAAUAGAUGGGUUUCCCAUUGUCCACUAAAAACCAUAAAUUAAGAAAUGAACGUGACAUUGUGUCCUUUUCAUUUCCUGCUGAGUCUGUGAGUGUCCUGCUUGGAGACAAGCUUCAUCUAGAAGAGCUUUUCUCGGAGUGCCAACUCCUUGCCACUUGGGCCUGCCCUGGGUCCUUAGUCCGCCUCUACCCUUCAGGGUUAAGUAGAGGACCCCAGGUGAGCUGUCUAGGUGAAGGAGCAGCUGGAUACAUAAAAAGGUUAAUGACUUGGGAAAUUUUGAUGAUUUGUUAUUCUUCUAAGACACUUAAGUGCUCUCCAUCUCUCCAUCUCUGUCUCAGCAGUGGCCCGCGACAUGGCAGGCAGGCACCUGCGGUUUUCACUUCACUAUUGAUGGGAAUAAGAGGUCUUCAGCUAAAGUUUCAGAUUCAGUAAGUUUACAACUUUUUGUUCCCUUAUAAAUGAUAUGCUUGUCUUAGAGGAAUAAUGAUCUAUGCCAGUCUUCAAUAUAUUGGAGUAAUACACAGGUCUUAUUUAAAGGAAAACAUUCUGGUUCCAAUAAUGCUCUAUUUUUAGUGUAUAGCACUUAACUGUAGUACAAAUGUAAGCAUAGUUACUAACAUUUUUUGCUUAUGGUUCUUAAGUAUCUAUAAACCAGAUUAAAAUUUAAAGCAGCAAAAUAAUAAAAUACCAGUGACCACUGAACAUUAUUCAUUGUGACAGAUGACAUAGGACCCUGAAGCCACUUGUGUGUAGGCUCUUGGUGUUUACUGGGUCUGUUCUGUCCUCUGCUGAAGGCACUAAAAUUUGUUUACAAAUUCUUUUCUCACAAGCUCACAAUAGUUACUGAAUACUAGUUGGCACCUUCUCAGUCCAACACAAACAUGGUCCUGAAACCGGGGGGUGGUCCUCAGUGCUGAGGCAGUUGCCCAGAUGAAUCGGAAUGUGCCUACCUAAUUAAAACAACAUACUGGGGCACCUGGGCGGCUCAGUCGGUUAAGCAUCCGACUUCAGCUCAGUUCAUGAUCUCGCGGUUUGGGAGUUGGAGCCCCGCAUCAGGCUCUGUGCUGACAGCUUUCGAUUCUGUGUCUCCCUCUCUCUCUCUGUCCCUCCCCUGCUUGCACUCUGUCUCUCUCUCCUUCAAGAAAUAAAUAAACAUUAAAAAAAAAAAAUUUACCUUUUCUUGAGAAACUUGCUGACCGCAGGUGGAGAAUCAUGAUCUAUAUACUGCAUUAUGAGCUUAGAUUCACACAAGCAUGUGUAUGAAUAUAUGGCUGUCAACGGAAAAAGAUGAACAGAAAGGAUAAUGGAGUAGGAAAGCCGUAUUUAGAACUAAUAUUUUGAUUUGUGUCGUUGCUUUCCUUUGCUUCCACGGUUCCCUGCUUUGAGGCUGUACCUCUUGUUUUCAACAUUUCACUUCAUGGUGGGUGUCCCAGGUGCUAGGAUGCGUGCUCCCUCUUCGUCGGGUCUGUGUUUCGGUCCUGUCGGUGUGGGGUGUGCCAGCCACACACUCUGGGUCCUGGCACAGGGUGGAGGCCCCUCUGCUGUGGUUGCUCUUUCAUCGCUUCUUCCAUUUUGUCUGAGCUCUUGCACUGCACCCACCGUCCCAAUGUGUGGCAUAGGUAAAUGGGUGGUUGACAGGUGAAUUGUUCCUUUCCAGAUUUCUACGCAAUACCCGGUAGUGGACCAUGAAUUUGACGCGGUGGUGGUAGGCGCUGGAGGGGCAGGCUUGCGAGCUGCGUUUGGCCUUUCCGAGGCAGGGUUUAACACGGCCUGCGUCACAAAGCUCUUUCCUACGAGAUCACACACCGUUGCAGCCCAGGUAAGAGAAAGGGGCCCCCUUAAUGGUUUUGGCGCCUGCACAGCAGUGCUCAGUCUUCUGCCACAGGCCUUCUCACUGCACGCCAGCCAUGUUCCUGUCUCUCUGCUCCUUGCACCCACCUGGCUUACUCGCCUUGGGAGUGUGUUCCCACACUGCCUCCACCCCCACUGCCGGAGUCACUCCUAGGGCCUCUUAUCGCUCUGCUGCUCCAGUGACACUCAGGUCUUCUCUGAGCACCCACCUAAUCCUCUGGCCCCCAUCAUAGUUUGUCUUCACUGUACUUUCCCAAUCUAAAAUGAGCCUGUCUCUGGACUGAUUCUCUUGGCCCUGCUGCAUCCUUGGCAUGGGCCUCGUUAAGUAUGAUGAUGAUGAGCUUUGCUGGUGGCAUGAAUGUGCAGGACAGAAGAACAUUGGCCUUUAAAUGCUCAAAAUUUAGGGAAGAGGAUAAAAGUAAGAUGAAAAAGUACACAGUGAUUUUAUAAUUUUGUUUUCUUUCCUGGCACACCGUAGGUGGUACGCAGGUUGUAUAUAGUAUUCCAAAACUGGAAUGAAUUGAACUGUUUUUUCCAGUAUUUGGAACAUAUUUCCUCAUAGAGAUAGCAGAGUGUGGGGUAACUUUCCAGGAACCAGUAAAAGCCACCCUAAUUACUGUUGUAGCCUGUAUUCAGCAUGCAGCAACAUUCUUCAGGCACUUUGCUACACAGAUACUUUGUUCUAAAACUAUGUGUUAUAAACUGAAAAAUAAAUAAUACAUACUUUUGAAGAUUACAUUGUGUCUAAAAGGAAAAAUGGAUGUAAACAUAAGUCUAAAUAAUGAGAAAUAAUAGUAUAUUCAGGUAGUGCAAUAUUAAAACAAUAAAAAGUUAGAAAUGGAUAGCUUACCUUGAAUGCUGGUUGGAGAAAGUAAGGUUUAAUUGGGGGGAUAAGACAGGUGGGGACUGGGCAAGUCUAAAGUGUACUCCUGGGGGGGGCGGGGCACAUGGCUGGCUCAGUCAGUAAAGCGUGCAACUCUUGAUCUCAGAGUCGUGAAUUAGAGCCCUGGGUUGGGUAUAAAGAUUGCUUUUUAUUUUUCUUUGAGUAGGCUCUGUGCCCAGCAUGAGGCCCAGCAUGGGGCUUGAACUCUCGACCCUGAGAUCAAGACCUGAGCUGAGAUCAAGUUGGACACUCAACCGACUGAGCCACUGAGGCGCCCUGAGAUUACUUUAGAAAAACAAAAUUGUAUUUCUUGGGACUCCUGGAAGACCAGCUGUCUGUGGCCCUGAUUCUUACUAGUAGUAGCAAUAAAAUAAUAGCAUGGACAUGUGCACUGGGCCAAGUAUUUAGUGUUAUUUUAAACUAGGUUUCUCUCUUCUGCUACUACUCUGGUACUUAACAGUUUUUACUAGGACUGUGUUUGGGUUUACAAUCGGUGGGGUCGGAGAAGGAGGAGGAAAUAACUUGUGACUUUUGCUGCUUGUCUUGUUAGGGUUCCUGGCUUUGUGCUGGUGACUCUUUUCUUGAUAACUGAAACAUAAUGGGAAACUGAGGCACAGCAGCACCAAGCGGGGAAAGAAUUCCUGCAUGGGUCUGCUUGACUCAGAAGCUUGAUUGAGGAACAUUUGCAAAAAAGAGGGAAGUCAGAAAAUGUGCCUUUUCUUCUCAAAAAGAGAUGAGUAAUCCGGUUUUAAGUUGCGGAGGAAAAGUGUGAGUGUUACAUUUGUCCCUGUACUGCCAUUUUCUGUGACUCUGAGAGACAGACACGGUAGAGAGAAUGUGACUCUGAGUUUAGAGUUUAUUCCUUGACCGUAAGUACUUCUUUAACACAUGUCCAUAAAUGCCACUGGGAACAUUUUGUCAUAAAAUUAUCCCAGAUGGAUUUGCUCAAUACCUUUUAUGUGCCAGGUUUGGAGGUGACGAGCAUUGCUCAUAAAACCGCACUUAACCCUCCAGAUGGCUCUCGAGUUCAGCUUCAUGUCCCUUCAUGGGUAAGGGCACUGAGGCUGAGGGAGGUAAGAUUUGGCGUCUGUCGUGCCUCUCCCUGCUCAGGACGGUCCUGUAACCAACCAGACUGCAGUCAGGUCCCUCACAUGCCGUUGUUGUCAAAAUUAGUUGGUUUUCUCUGAAUCCAGUUUUGGGCAGUGGGUGGAAGGGGGAUGGGCCUGGAAGGUCCAGGGUUCCCUUUCGUAGCUUGUAAGUCUGCCCUGUGUUUACAGGGAGGGAUCAAUGCUGCUCUGGGGAACAUGGAGGAGGACAACUGGAGGUGGCACUUCUACGACACUGUGAAAGGCUCCGACUGGCUGGGGGACCAGGAUGCCAUCCACUACAUGACAGAGCAGGCCCCUGCUUCCGUGGUAGAGGUACUGUCCUUGCAUGGUCUGUUUCUGGUAGAAAAGAGAGGUCGAGGCAAAUGUGGUCAGCCCAAGGAAUGGUAACCAGUUGAUGUAACAAGGGAAAUCUUUCCUAUCAUUAACCAUUCAGUUCAUUUAAUAACAAAGUUUUUCUCUUUUCCUGAAGUGUUGAAAUUUUCAUAGAACGUAUUGGUUUGGGUUUACAGGUUUAUGUUGAAAUUGUUUAGUGUAAAUUAGCGAUGAAUAUCCCGAUUCCUUCAAGGUCCUGGGUGUUUGUUUUCACAUUUCACAGCUGGAGAAUUAUGGCAUGCCAUUCAGCAGAACUGAAGAUGGGAGGAUCUACCAGCGCGCUUUUGGUGGACAGAGCCUCAAGUUUGGGAAAGGCGGGCAGGCCCAUCGGUGCUGCUGUGUGGCUGACCGCACUGGCCACUCGCUGCUGCACACGUUGUAUGGAAGGGUGAGGCCACCCUGGGUGCAUGGGGUGACAGGACAUGGUCUGGUUAGGCCAGGCAUGUGGUGAUGAGCUGGAAACAGGCCACUCUGGGACAGGUCAGAAGGUCAGCAUGUCAGCCCUGGGGUUGCUUAAUAAACAGCAGACUAACAUGGCAGGAUGUAUAUUUGUUAAUUGUUAAUUUGAAAGUGUCUAUUUUAGAAAAUUAAAUUGAUCUGCCAUACCGAAAGUAUAAGAACAGAGCAAGUAUUUUAGGACUCAGCACCUCUGAGUCCCUGAACUAAUUGAUUUAAUACUUAAGUGUUCAAACUGGACUAAGGUUUGGGGGACAGUAGUUACUGGAUAAUCAGGGCCUACUUUGGCAUAGCCAAGUAAUCAAUAUUUGGAAUAACUCUGAUUCAUAAUAUUCAGUAUUCUGAAUUCUUGCUCUCAAAUGGGGACAGAUUCUUGAUUUGCAAAUGUUAGGACCCUGGUGGCAGCUUCGGCUGAGUGCAUUGACACACGUGUGACAGGAUCUGCCCAUCCUGCAGCAUACUGUGUCAUGUUGGGGAGCUGGUGGUUUUGUGAGAGCCCUUCAUGUUUACUGAGCAGCUACAGCAUCUUCUCUGACAUGCAUGACAUGUGUAUGUCCUUCUUAUGGUCUGAUCUGAUCAUACAGCUGAGAGCAGGGUACCUUUCGUGUUGAUCCACAACAGCAUCAGCACUAUGGUUGAUGCAAGUAAAGUCUGUGGCUUCUUUUGCAGCCCAGGGUUUACCCUGUCCAUUUGUUACACACCACAUCAGAGCCCUUGACUUGUUCAUAUGAGCAGUGUUGCUGAAAUGUUAGUUUAACACCCUAAAUGCAAUUGAAACUGUGGGAUUCUUUUUUCUUUCAUGUUUUUUAGUCUCUGCGAUAUGAUACCAGCUAUUUUGUAGAGUAUUUUGCUUUGGAUCUCCUGAUGGAAAAUGGAGAAUGUCGUGGUGUUAUUGCGCUGUGCAUAGAAGACGGGUCCAUCCAUCGCAUAAGAGCAAAGAACACUGUUGUAGCUACUGGGUAGGAGUCUAACUUGUAUUUAGUUUUUCUGCAGGAAAGUUGGGUCUCCGAGUUUCUUUAAAAAAAAAAAAAAUGGAGGCAGUGACCUAACCCAGGAGCAUAAUAAGCUUUGCCAGUCUCAGUUCCAUGUCUCCAAAGGGGACAAUCAUAGCACCUGCCUCAGGUGGGUGAGGAAGUAUCUGUCUUCAGUUUGCACCUGAGAGGACCCUUGAGGAAACGGGUCUGGAGAGUCACGUGACACUUCCUGGCUUAACCUGUCUUUUGCUUUAGUGGACACUGUGUUUAUACUGAUUUCUGGUGUAGAUAAGUGCUGUUUGUUCACAUGAUGAAACUAAAUUACAUUUCUUACAUUGUCAGUCCGUUAUUUUAACCCUUUACAAGAGUGAGUCCAUAAAGCAAAAAUUUCAGCAUUAAAGCAGCACACGCUUCUCAGGGAGGUCGUUCAGAUAGCAUGAAAGUGCCUUGAAGUAUAAACGAGAGUGCCUCCUCCGUCUCCCAGGCUCCCGCCCCAGUUGCCCAGGGUAGCGCGUGCAGACAGCACCUGUCACGGUGCUGCGGGCUGCUCUGUCCGCUCUGGUGCCACUAGAAAGGCGAUCCUGAUGGGACGCCAUGUGUCACUGCUUUCUCUCUGCUGGCCCGUCUGUUUUCCAGAGGCUACGGGCGCACCUACUUCAGCUGCACAUCUGCCCACACCAGCACCGGUGACGGCACUGCCAUGGUCACCAGGGCAGGCCUUCCCUGCCAGGACUUGGAGUUCGUUCAGUUUCACCCCACAGGUAGGACGGGACCACUUUCAUGGGGUCAGGACUCUCAUACCUCUCGAUGCCCCUCUGUAGUCCCACACACUAGCACAUUCUCAGAGCCCAGCUUGUCAUUUGCUCAAGGAAGUUUUUUCCAUUUCUCCCGAGGCAGUUUAGGCCACCACCUUGCCUUGGCGAUACCUGCUCCAGUCGUAAAGCUGGAGCUUUAUGUAAAGACUGUUCAGUGUCCCUCUCCCCAACUCGAUUGUCAGCUCCCGGAGGUGGGGACAGGUGCUGCAGUUCACAGUGCCUGGCACAUAGUAGGACCUCAUCAGUGUUUCCUGAGUGAAUGUCCCGAGAGCUGUUGAUCAGAGUUGUGGCAUGGGCAGAUUCCAGUGUUACAGGGAAAACAUCAGGCUGUCCAGUAGAGUAUAAAGUCGGAACGAGCUAUGGCAGAUGCGGCCCCCUGAGAUGUUAAUGACUGUGGUGCCAUUUGUGGGCACAUUGAGCUCAUCUUGCGUCCUCAGACAGUUGAGUGUGCAAAUGUGGAGUUCAGACGGGAGGUCUAGGCUGCAGGUGCAGAAUUGAGAGAGUUCGUUAUUCAGAUAUGAAUUGGAGAGAGAGAUCUGCCUCUUGGGACAGGCAAGUCUCAAUCUGGACUUUGUUUCUAGUUGCUUUUCUGACCUGUCAACUGAGGGGACACCACACUUUGUGGAAGUAGCCUCCCGCCAUGCUAAAGAACCAGACCUGGGUUUUCUCUUUGCUCUGUCAGUAUAUUUUUUCUGAUCCCUGGCAGGGAUAAAAAGUAAAAAAUGUUUUAGGUAGUUUUUUAAUACUGGUUUUGGGGGUUUUUGUUUUGUUUUAAAGUUUACUUAUUUAUUUUGAGAGAGAACAUGUGAGCGGGAGAGGAACAGAGAGACCAGGAGAGAGAGAAUCCCAAGCAGGCUCCGUCCUGUCAGCAUGGAACCUGACUUGGGGCUCUGGCUCCCAAACUGUGAGAUCAUGACCUGAGCCAAAAUCAAGAGUCAAAACACAAUCGACUGAGCCACCCAGGUGCUCCAGGAAAUUCUUGUUCUUUUUUUUUUUUUUCUUUUAAAAGUUUGUUUAUUUUUGAGAGAAAGAGACAGUGUGAGCAGGGGAGGGGCACAGAGAGAGAGAGACAGAAUCCGAAGCAGGCUCCAGGCCCUGAGCUGUCAGCACAGAGCCUGACUGGGGCUCGACCUCAGCAACCGUGAGGUCAUGACCUGAACUGAAGUCAGAUGCUUAACCAACUGAGCCACUCAGGUGCCUCUGCUUUCUUGUUCUUAAAGCAAGAAAACUCUUCUGGUGUGGUAAUGACAGUUUUAACUUUCAGGUGACAUUGACAUAGGUGUUUGUCUCCUUGUUAAAAUUCAGGUGCUUGGCAUUCCUUAUUGAAGGGACAGUGAGAUUAAGGGCACAGACCUGCCUAGUUGCCAGGUGUGCGUUUGGCUCUGCCUUCCCAGCUGCAGAACACUGACAAGUUCCUAAGCUAUCAUUGCUCUCUCUGAAAAUAGGGAUAUUUCCUGGGGUUGUUACAAAACUUAGAGUUGUAUACAGCAAGUACAGUAUAAGUAUGAACGGUGGUAAUUAUUGCUGUUGUUAACCAGUUUUUAUUUUUUUAUUUUUUUUUUUAAGUUUUUAUUUUUAUUUUCAAGAGACAGAGAGAGACAGAGCAUGAGUGGGGGAGGGGCAGAGAGAGGGAGACACAGAAUCCAAAGCAGGCUCCAGGCUCUGAGCUGUCGGCACAGAGCCCAAUGCGGGGCUCAAACCCAUAGACCGUGAGAUCAUGACCUGAGCCAAAGUCGGACACUCAACCGACUAAGCCACCCAGGCGCCCCAUUAACCAAUUUUUAGAUACGAAUUUUCCAAGCUGGUUUUUCUUACCUAGUCACAAUUUCAUGCUACAAAAGAACAUUCUGCAAUUAAAACAAACCUGAGAUAUUUAACUCAUGCUUGGUUGUGCUGAAAGCUGAAAAGCUGUUGGAAUUGGAAUAUUCAGCCAAGCUGUGUUGUUACUACAUUAGCUGCCCUUUCUCCUCACUGCUGCUUCAUUGGUGCUUUUUGUUGUCAAAACUUCCUACUAUUCCUUACUUAACCUGUCCUUUGUCUUAUUCUGUUGUGAGCAUCAUGCCCCUUGCAUACCCUUUUCCUUUCCACCCCCAGAAACGUAUUGGAAAAAAAUUUGCAUUUGAAAUAUUGACCUAGCAAUUGUUAGGUUAUAAUCAUCUAAUUAACUGGGUUCUUUGCAGGUAUAUAUGGUGCCGGUUGUCUCAUUACAGAAGGGUGCCGUGGAGAGGGAGGCAUUCUCAUUAACAGUCAAGGCGAAAGAUUCAUGGAGCGAUAUGCCCCGGUUGCAAAGGACCUGGCAUCCAGAGACGUCGUGUCUCGGUCCAUGACUCUGGAAAUACGUGAAGGAAGGUCUGUGUCAUUCUAUCCAAAGGUGUCUGAGUGCACACACACACAUGCACACCCUCCUUUCUCUUGGGUGGCUGCUAUUCAAGUCUACAUGUGCACCUGGGCUGGUGUGGCUUCUGUGUGAGUUUUAGCAACUCACCUACCCCACCCAACUCUGAGUAGGCUGCCUCUCCUCCCCUCUGAUGGUUGUUUGUCAAUUUAUGAUAUCCCUCUAAAAACCUACAUUUUGGGAAGUUAAGCUGGUUUGACUUCAGUCUCUCUCAAAUCUGUGGAACAUCAAUUGUGUGUAUGAGUGUUAUGAUAGAGACAGACACUCUGUGUGGGGGAGCAAGACACACAUGCCCACAACCUAAGUUAGCAUAUGGGCCUUCGGUGCUGUUUGGGGACCCACAUGCGUUCGAGACCUUCACUGUGCAGGCUCUUGAGUGCCAGUGCUGCCUUACGAUGGUGAUCUUUCUUGUAUCUUUGAUGUUAUAACUUCUAGAGAUUUUAUAUUUGGAGUGUUUGCAUUAAAAGGACUUUCUAAUGCAUUUACCAAGGAAAACAGCUAAUUGUGACUUCCUAAGACUAGAGUAUGAGCUCAGUGAGGGCUGGAAGUCUGUCCAUGUUCUGGCUGUGUCCUACCACAUUCAGUCUACCCUGUCACAGAGCAGGUGCUCAGAGGAGAUGUGAAGAAUGGAUGGCCACAAGUGAAGGGAAAUUUUGUACAGCAUAAAAAAAUGUAAACUCAUAGUCUCACAUUUUCUAUAAUUGCCGUUUUUUGCCUCACACCGUGAUGUCCUUUUCCACCAGAGGCUGUGGCCCUGAAAAAGAUCACGUCUACCUGCAGUUGCACCACCUACCCCCAGAGCAGCUGGCCAUACGGCUGCCUGGCAUUUCAGAGACGGCCAUGAUCUUCGCAGGUGUAGAUGUCACCAAGGAGCCCAUCCCCGUCCUUCCCACCGUGCAUUAUAACAU
This 16441-nucleotide long non-coding RNA is filed under the name Lynx pardinus (Iberian lynx). Lineage: Eukaryota; Metazoa; Chordata; Mammalia; Carnivora; Felidae. The record is from RNAcentral.